UAUCAGAACCUCAUCCACCAUCCCUGGCAUGUGGUUGCCCUGGGGCUUAGAGGUCUGUCCUUCCCUCAUCCUGAGUCCAGGGAAAGUCCCCUCUGUGGUUAGGACAACUACCUUCUCCACCACCAGCUGGGGAGUGGAAGGGAACAUCUGUGGUGGACACACUAGGAUUUGUAGCAAAUGAGCCACACACCCCAGAGGACAGAAAGAACCACUUUGGUAAAAGGCCUCUUGGCCCACUCCUCAGUCUCACUGCCCAAGGACUCCUAUCAGCAUUCCUCCCCAGCCUCCUGAGCCCCAUAACUGGGAGCAUGGGGCUGACCACGGGAGAACCUGGUUUUCUCCUCCACCUUUCUGAACCCUGCACACCUUCACGAAGCAGCUGAAGGAUGUUAGCUGAGAUCUAGAACCUUCUCCUGCCCUGGUCGCUGGCUGGGCUUCCUUGAAGACAUGCUUCAUCUUAGUGCCCCCUUUAUCCUUGAUGUGUCUCAGACCCCAGGAAGUCCCCUCAUCACCCAGCCAAUGGAGCCAGUGAAGGAACUCCAGAGUCUCUGUCACCUGAACCAGCUGGAAGACCAUCUCUGGGAGCUGGACUGGAGCCAGAUGGGGAUCCAGUGUUCCCACGUAUGGGCAGCAGUACCUGGACAGGGAGCAAGAGGUCUGGACCCUGAAAAUAGAUCAGCGAGUCUCUGUCGACCUGGCUUCUGGCAAGAAGGAAUGCAACCAAGCAGAAAGUCAAGUAAAUAAAAGCAGUGCCAAGAAACAUCCCCUAGGGCCUUACAUCAGAAACGGUGUCAGAAUCUCAGGGGUUCAGGUCUCCAGGCCAUAAAUCCUGAAUGGGCCUUGCAGUUAAAAACAUUGACAGAUUUUGUGUGUGGGAACUUGCGGGCCCCUGGAAGACCAGGUCCCCGUGGAAUAAUUGUGACUCAAGUAGGAAAAGAAAUA
This is a long non-coding RNA of Panthera uncia (snow leopard), 942 nucleotides long. RefSeq lists it as uncharacterized. The transcript has 4 exons. NCBI's taxonomy places the organism in Eukaryota, Metazoa, Chordata, Mammalia, Carnivora, Felidae. The record is from RefSeq and is a predicted model, not a curated record.